GUGGAUUAGUGGCGAACGGGUGAGUAACACGUGGGCAAUCUGCCCUUCACUCUGGGACAAGCCCUGGAAACGGGGUCUAAUACCGGAUACGACCUGGGAAGGCAUCUUCCCGGGUGGAAAGCUCCGGCGGUGAAGGAUGAGCCCGCGGCCUAUCAGCUUGUUGGUGGGGUGAUGGCCUACCAAGGCGACGACGGGUAGCCGGCCUGAGAGGGCGACCGGCCACACUGGGACUGAGACACGGCCCAGACUCCUACGGGAGGCAGCAGUGGGGAAUAUUGCACAAUGGGCGAAAGCCUGAUGCAGCGACGCCGCGUGAGGGAUGACGGCCUUCGGGUUGUAAACCUCUUUCAGCAGGGAAGAAGCGAAAGUGACGGUACCUGCAGAAGAAGCGCCGGCUAACUACGUGCCAGCAGCCGCGGUAAUACGUAGGGCGCAAGCGUUGUCCGGAAUUAUUGGGCGUAAAGAGCUCGUAGGCGGCUUGUCGCGUCGGAUGUGAAAGCCCGGGGCUUAACCCCGGGUCUGCAUUCGAUACGGGCAGGCUAGAGUGUGGUAGGGGAGAUCGGAAUUCCUGGUGUAGCGGUGAAAUGCGCAGAUAUCAGGAGGAACACCGGUGGCGAAGGCGGAUCUCUGGGCCAUUACUGACGCUGAGGAGCGAAAGCGUGGGGAGCGAACAGGAUUAGAUAC
Molecule: ribosomal RNA, 684 nt
Filed under: Streptomyces sp.
Lineage: Bacteria; Bacillati; Actinomycetota; Actinomycetes; Kitasatosporales; Streptomycetaceae
Description: bacterial SSU rRNA
Rfam family: Bacterial small subunit ribosomal RNA
Source: RNAcentral